Molecule: long non-coding RNA, 1289 nt
Organism: Pseudophryne corroboree (corroboree frog)
Lineage: Eukaryota; Metazoa; Chordata; Amphibia; Anura; Myobatrachidae
Exons: 5
Source: RefSeq, a predicted model, not a curated record
CUCUUGAAGUGCAAAGACAUCGCCGUUGUGCGAUGCCUUUGCACUUCUGCGGGGGGGCCGGCACUGACAUGCGGGGCGUACUAGCUCUGUGCUGGCCGUCCCCCCGCAUGUCGGUGUGAAUGAUCGUAGCUGUGCUAAAUUUAGCACAGCUGCGGUCAUUUCGGAAUGACCCCCUACGUGCACUGGGAGGGACUUUGUUAGCAGUGUUGGACUGUUGACUGCUGGGGUGGGGGCGUGGAGGGUCACUGUUCGUCCAGCUCAGGGGAUCCUGCCAGUGGUGGUUUUAGGUGCGGGCUAUCAGGGCGGGCACCCGAGACGCUGCAGCCUGAGGCCGCAGUCAUUCCGCCAGAGCCAUCAGCACCCAUCUGCUGCCUGCACCAAAAUGCCGCUCGUCACUUCCUGCUCCGGCCGGCCGCCUACCAUCCUGGCCACUUCACGCUGGCCGUACCCCACCGUGGAAGUAUAACAAGAACAUAGAGCUGGAGGACCACAGGUGCCAAAUGGUUCCCUCAGAAACACCGGUGUACGAGGAGAGCGCGGAGCCGCAGCAGCGGCGACCACAUGAUAAGAAGCCUUAACCAGAAGCCACCAGGAAACAGCAGCAGCUGUAGGAGACGCGAGGAGAACAGAAGCAGGUGGACGCUGAGACACACAGAGCUUAGGAACAGGCAUGCAGAUGAAGAGCUCAGAGUGGAAGCAAUGCAAGUCUAAUGCUCAGGUGUGGAGAACCGGGGGUAUGGAGGCAUCCCAGUGGAAAGUAAAGGGAUCGGUGACUGACCAGUUCCAUCCAGAAGAUUGGGACCAUCCACUAUCUGGCUCCUUCACCAAGCAACUCGUAUUGAGAAGUGAGGUUCCAGAGGCAGCAGCAGCCGAUUAUACCGUGUUUGUGAUGUCACAGUGUACUGGCUGAGUGACAUCAUCACCAGCCAUCAGCACCAGCCUGGAGAAAUGUCCAGCUUGUUUAUUUCAUCAGUCCAUACAGCUUUUCAGUGUCAUCUCUCCCUUCCAGAGACCGUGCCAGGGUUCUCCUCUUUCCGCCUCCUGUGUUCUCAUGAGAUCCCAUGUGGUGGAUCUUGCCAUUCGGUGCACACUUGGAUGCUCAGUAGUGACUAGGGGGACCUUGUUCUUUACAGCAGCCUCUGCUUGUGGUUUCCGCAACUUGGCUGGGGCUAUGUACUGUAUGCAUCAAGGAUGUCUAUUAGGAGAAGUAAAAUGCUAAUUUCUAGUUAAACUUAAUAUUUCAAUAUGAUGAUACACAUCAUUGCAGCAAUAAAGUAACAUCUCUGCAA